UACGUAGGGGGCAAGCGUUGUCCGGAAUCAUUGGGCGUAAAGCGCGUGUAGGCGGUUUUGUAAGUCUGCUGUGAAAGUCGGAGGCUCAACCUUCGAAUGCCAGUGGAUACUGCGAGACUUGAGUACGGAAGAGGAGAGUGGAAUUCCUGGUGUAGCGGUGAAAUGCGCAGAUAUCAGGAGGAACACCAACGGCGAAGGCAGCUCUCUGGGACGUUACUGACGCUGAGACGCGAAAGCGUGGGGAGCAAACAGGAUUAGAAACCCCUGUAGU
Molecule: ribosomal RNA, 271 nt
Filed under: uncultured bacterium
Lineage: Bacteria
Description: partial 16S ribosomal RNA
Rfam family: Bacterial small subunit ribosomal RNA
Source: RNAcentral